UGUCACCAAAUUUUUCUUAAUGAAAAUCUAAUAAUUUUAUUUUACUUUUCAUUGGAAAAAUGAUGUUUGGGUUUUUGUUGUGUUGCGGUGGGUAUUACUCGUUACAAUCAUCGACUGGGGUUUUGGAACAUGGAAGAGCCGCUCAAAAUCGAACAGUCGCGUAAACCUUGAUUCCGAAGAACCGCUGGAAUCAAAACAUAAUCGAAUAUCGGAAGUUUUAAUUGGCUGAAUCAAGUAUAGAAUAGGAACAUAGGACCACACAAACUUUCGAACAUAGAAUCGAGUUCUGGAGUUUUCAGACAUAGAAUCAGAAGUUUUGGUGGUAUCGAAGCAUACAACCUCAAAAUUUGAUCUCUGUAUGUUUCCCUACACCUUGUUUCAUUAUUUUCUGAAGCUGUUUUCCGUCAUUGUUCAGAUAGAAAGAAGAGAUGGCUACGUGUUCCGAAAAGUUUAAAUUCUUGUCCGAGAGUGAUGAUGAUGACCCUUCUUAUAGUGUUCAAGAAAAUGAUGAACUAAAUGAUUGCUUUAUCGGAGAAUGAUGUUUCCUUAAAUCAUGGUUUAGAUGUUGAGUUAGGUUGGGAUCCAUGAAUAACAGUGCAGAAGAUAGCUUUUUGAACAGAUGUGUGAUGAGCAUGUGUUAUCUCUUGAUUUAGAAACAGAAGAAACUGUAUGCCAAUUGUGUUGUAGAAGAAUUGUUUUAGAAGUUUUUUUUUAUCAUGGUUUCCUCAACCAAUUUAUGGUUUCCACCAGAUGAGUGGUUGAUAUAAUAUCUUACUGUAACACCUCCUUAUUUACAAUCAUUGUUUUUAUUAGGACUUAUAUCAUUGUAUUGUUAAAUCUGUAUCUAAAUCAUAUCAAGUUUAAAGUUUUGAUCUUGGAUUUGACUUGUAUGUGUAGGGGCCAAUGGAAACAAAAGUAAAAUAUUAUAGAGAUCUACUGAGAGAGAAAGGAGAAUCUGAAGAAAGCUUCUGCUGAAAUUUCACAACGGAAUUUGAAAUAACUUUUAAUUAUCAGCGGUGUUAAGGAGAUCAAGCAGAAUUUCUGAGGGAUUUCAGAGUUUCAAGUAAUCUUCAGGCGCUCCAAUCUUAGAUAGAUCCACCUCAGCCUCAUCAUUUGAGGAUGAAGCCCCAAUUAUUUCAUCAUCACUACGCUCGAUGUGUUGCUUCAUUUCAUCUAGUUUGGAUCUUAGUUGCAUGAGCCCAUGUAUCCCAAGGCUUCCGAUAUAUUCCUCAUGCGUUUCACAACCCAACAUCGCCUUUAAACGUUCUUUCAACAUCUGUCCCCGUUUCUUCUCAUUUGCUAAUUGCUCAUUCAAUUCAUCGAGUUCUUGAUUGAGAUUCUGCAAUCUGGAUUCAUUGAACACCGGGGCUUCCAAAAGAGAGAGGCUUUCCACUUAAGGAGAAGACGAUGAUUGCAAUCUGUACGCCACAUAGCGUCGCGAGCUCAUUGGCUUUCUUGAAUAAUCCGCCAUAUCGCUUUGUCAAGGCUUCCAAAAGAGAGAGGCUUUCCACUGAUGGAGAAGAAAGUGAUUUCCAGCUGUAUGCCACACUGUGUGAACCUGAUGUAACCUCAACUACUCAAGAGUGGAAGAUAAGGCAACCCAGGAAACAUAAAAGGAAAGAGUUAGAACAAAGAGGAAGACAGAAUUUAGAAGAGACGUGUUCAUCUUUUGGUGAGUUUGAACCACAUUUAUAUAGAAUAACUCAGUUAAGAGCAGAGAGGUGACCGAAUGUGGGGCUUUAAAUAGGUGAAUGAAAUAGGAAUGGCUCUCUUUAAUUUGGUUGGCACUCUUUGAAAUGGACUGAUUGACAUGGGAGCAGUUAUA
This is a non-coding RNA of Lactuca sativa (garden lettuce), 1825 nucleotides long. The record is from RefSeq and is a predicted model, not a curated record. NCBI's taxonomy places the organism in Eukaryota, Viridiplantae, Streptophyta, Magnoliopsida, Asterales, Asteraceae.